This 358-nucleotide ribosomal RNA is filed under the name uncultured bacterium. Its description in RNAcentral is "partial 16S ribosomal RNA". It matches the Rfam family "Bacterial small subunit ribosomal RNA", at positions 338 to 710 of the family's 1533-position model. The record is from RNAcentral.
CCUACGGGAGGCAGCAGUGGGGAAUAUUGGGCAAUGGAGGCAACUCUGACCCAGCAACGCCGCGUGAAUGAUGAAGGUCUUCGGAUUGUAAAGUUCUGUGAUGGGGGAUGAACACAAUGACGGUACCCCAAUUGCCAGCCACGGCUAACUACGUGCCAGCAGCCGCGGGAAUACGUAGGUGGGAAGCGUUAUCCGGAAUGACUGGGGGUAAAGGGUGGGUAGGGGGUUUAGUAAGCUGGCGGUGAAAUUCCGGGGCUCAACCCCGGCGCUACCGCCAAAACUAUUAGACUAGAGUGGACGAGGAGUAAGUGGAAUGCGUGGUGUAGCGGUGAAAUGCGUAGAUAUUAGGAGGAACAUC